ACUCUCCAACCGACGCAGCGGAGAGUCAGGCACAAAGUCCGGUGACCCCGGAACCGAGCGUAGCCUCUGGCCUGGGAGCUCGGAAACUCUGCCCUAGAACAGUUCAGGUCAAGCUGGGGUCGGAGGGGGUCUUCCCUCAGUGACCCCAGUUCCCUGCGCGGGUCUCUCCCAUUCUAGGCCACAGUUCCCGCACACAAACUUUUCCCUACUCAUUCAGUCCUUUCGGAACCCUGCCUUCAUUGCUCGGCUGGCUCCAGGGGUCUGGCGGGCUAAUACCCGGGACCCAAGAAAGUGUCUAAUGACCCUUACCAGAACGGGUCCCGAAGGAUGGGACUCCAUAAUACGUGGGGUGCACACAUCCAAGCCCGACUUUGACGGGUUAUGGGUGCAAGUGUGGAAAGAAACGACAGGAGAACAAACUUGGGAAGCCGGACCAAGCGACACUUCCCUGUCCCUAAGUCAGUCUCCAGAGCGACCGGCAGCACUCGGCCGCGACCCCAGGAUGUCGCUCCUCCACCCCAACCCCCAGUUCUCACGGCUCGGAACCCCCAAAGGGUAGUAAAAAGGCAGAGACUGCUGGCAGGAGCUGCUAUGGCACCGUGAGCUGCAGCUGAUCUCCGGGAACUCUGCUGCCUGGUCCAGCCAGUUGUACAAUCGCUUCAAGACUGCAGCAUGGCAAUCACAUGAACCGUCGCAGCGGAUCAAGUUUAAGACUCUUCUGCUACAUGAGCAAAGGACCCCCUCUUUGAUGGACCCAGAACUAGCCUCUCCCACAAAGACCCUCCUCAGCAAAAAAAAAAAAAAAAAAAAAAAAAAAGCUGUAAUGCCUCUGGCAUGCAUUUUUAUAUCCUUUCAGAGUUAGCAAUGCUAGUUUCCUACUCAUCCCAGCUCAGCUCCCCUUGCAGAUUAUCGUAGUCAUUCCUGCCCCCGUAAGCGGCCACACCCCAUCUUUUUCUGUUGGCAUUUUGGCUAUAUUUACAGAGAGAGACAAAGAUGCCCCCUCAACGUGAAUAUACACGGUCCCACCUGAGGUCAGACCCCCCUCUUUCUCUCUCUGUUUCUCUCUCUCUGUUUCUCUCUCUCUGUUUCUCUCUGUAUCUCUUUCUCCCCAGAUGCUUCUUAAUGCUCUAACCAAAAGGGCUACCUACCCCUGUGUGCACACCUCACAGCAUGACUUUUAACCCUGCUGGUAGCCCCUUGGUGUGGGCAUUCAGCUCCCAAUAAACCACGAGGGCCAGCAAGUGCCAUUGAAUCUGGAGUCAGGGACAGUGCUGCCCUCUUUGAGACAGUCUUUCAUGCCUCCCAGGCUGGCCCUCAGAUCUCAGUUGGCUUGCUUUAGCUUCCAGAGGGAUGGGAGGCACAGUGCUCAGUCCUUUGCCCUUUCUCUGUCUCUUUGUUUUGCCACUGAGAGUCUAGUAUACUGCAGAUGCUCAGGGGAUAUGGACAUGUUAGUGGGGACUGGGAAAGAAUUCUCCUAUGAGAGAUUCCUGUGUCCUGUGGUGCAGUGAGGAAGAUACUGAGACCUGCAGUGAUUGAGAGUGAUGGGAACUCAUCUACCUGUGUCUCAGGAUCCUUGUCCUCCACUGGCCUCCAUGGCAUUGACAGACUGAUGACAUUUUCUGACGUUGAAGUCAUACCUUGAUUUUACCUUCAUUAUUUCUUUCUUGGUUAGUUGUUUGCAGUAGUGGAGAUUUGAACCCAGGGCCUAGAGAUUGCUAUGCAAGUACCACUGAGCUCUAGUCCCAGCCUUUACAAUUUUUUAAAAAAAUAUCUAAAAUAGAGUCUGGGUGCUGGCUUUGAACUCACUCUGUAGUCCAGGCUAGUCUUGAACUCGUGAGCCUUCUUCUGCCUCUCAGUCUCCGGAGUAACUAGCCUGGUUUUAUCAUGACUUCUCAGUGACUGACCCGCUUUGAAUUUCCACUUCCUAAAAACUGGCUGAAUUUGGAAGGCUUUGGGGGCUGAUUCUGUAGGUUGGUGUGUCUGUGUCUGAGCCUGGUGUGUGCUAGGCAGAAGGUGAAGAAUGUCCCCCUCCACCUUCCCAUUCACACAGAGCUAGGCCUCCUGUUUCAUACGCAGCCAGAAGGUCUCAAGCCCCAGAAGAGAAAGCCAUCCCUUAUCGCCCUCGGCCGCACUGAUGGUUUUAUUCUUUUGAAAGCGUCAAUGUUUGCUCAGUGAUGUAAGUCUUAAAUAAGCAUCUAGAUGACAAGCUGCAGAUGAUGAAAACUGUCCGUGGAAAAAAAUCAUCUCACACGAUCAUGUUUCUGUCAUUAUCUGGGGCCUCUGCAGUGGGCAAAUCUCUGCAGCUACUAAACGAUAACAUUAGUCCUAAUACCAUGUAAAAUGACUACUUCCUCUGGGUAGGUUUAUUUUUAAUGGUGUUAUGUCAGCAGCAAAUAGCUGGGAAGACCCCAGAGGAAAAGCCCUGUUCUCGCUCUCACUGAAGUGAUGAUAUGGUUAUAUUUAAUAUCUAUAUUAAAAACCUUUUAGGCGCUGUG
This 2495-nucleotide long non-coding RNA is filed under the name Mus musculus (house mouse). RNAcentral describes it as "predicted gene 3134 (Gm3134)". The record is from RNAcentral. Lineage: Eukaryota; Metazoa; Chordata; Mammalia; Rodentia; Muridae.